RNAcentral lists this transfer RNA (72 nucleotides) under Phrynosoma platyrhinos (Desert horned lizard). RNAcentral describes it as "tRNA-OTHER". Lineage: Eukaryota; Metazoa; Chordata; Lepidosauria; Squamata; Phrynosomatidae. The record is from RNAcentral.
GCCAGUGUGGCACAGUGGUUUGGGUGUUGGACUGCGACUCUGGAGACCAGGGUUCAAGUCCCCACUUGGCCA